GCGUCCUUAGUUCAGUUGGUAGAACGUAGGUUUCCAAAACCUAAUGCCGAGGGUUCAAUUCCUUCAGGACGUG
Galdieria sulphuraria is the source of this 73-nucleotide transfer RNA. It matches the Rfam family "tRNA". Rfam says of the family: Transfer RNA (tRNA) molecules are approximately 80 nucleotides in length. Lineage: Eukaryota; Rhodophyta; Bangiophyceae; Galdieriales; Galdieriaceae. The record is from Rfam.